CCUACGGGUGGCAGCAGUGAGGAAUAUUGGUCAAUGGGCGCGAGCCUGAACCAGCCAAGUCGCGUGAGGGAUGAAGGUUCUAUGGAUCGUAAACCUCUUUUAUAAGGGAAUAAAGUGUGGGACGUGUCCUAUUUUGUAUGUACCUGAUGAAUAAGGAUCGGCUAACUCCGUGCCAGCAGCCGCGGUAAUACGGAGGAUCCGAGCGUUAUCCGGAUUUAUUGGGUUUAAAGGGUGCGUAGGCGGCCUUUUAAGUCAGCGGUGAAAGUCUGUGGCUCAACCCUGGGAUUGCCGUUGAAACUGGGGGGCUUGAGUAUGUUAGAGGCAGGCGGAAUGCGUGGUGUAGCGGUGAAAUGCUUAGAUAUCGCGCAGAACCCCGAUUGCGAAGGCAGCCUGCCGAGCCAUGACUGACGCUGAUGCACGAAAGCGUGGGGAUCAAACAGGAUUAGAUACCCGUGUAGUC
This 460-nucleotide ribosomal RNA is filed under the name uncultured bacterium. RNAcentral's name for it is "partial 16S ribosomal RNA". It matches the Rfam family "Bacterial small subunit ribosomal RNA", at positions 338 to 795 of the family's 1533-position model. The record is from RNAcentral.